UGGCAACCAGCUUGGGUCUGCUCCCACGCUGUUGGGGCGGGGGCGGGGGGGGGGUUGUUCUUUUGCUCCUUGGGUCCACACUGCGUUUAUGAGCUGUAAUAUUCACCGCAAAGGUCUGCAGCUUCACUACUAAGCCAACGAGACCACAAACCCACCAGGAGGAACGACAAUUCCAGACGCGUGGCUUUAACAGCUGUUAACACUCACCGCGAAGGUCUGUAGCUUCAUUUCUGAGUCAGCGAGACCACGAACCCACCAGAAAGAAGAAACUCCGAACACACCCGAACCUCAGAAGGAACAAAUUCCGGACACGCCGCCUUUAAGAACUGUAACACUCACCACAAGGGUCCGCGGCUUCAUUCUUGAAGUCAGUGAGACCAAGAACCCACUAAUUCCGGACACACUUUGACCAGCAGAGCAGGCAGAAGUAAAGCCACGGUUCACAGAAGUGCCUCCCCCAACGCCAGUGCCCUGGGUCCAAGAGCAGAAUCUCAGUGUUCCUGCAGAAGUCACCAUGGAAGAAUAAUCGUGUUGUGAUUUUGAAAGGAAAUUGAAAUCCCCUCUUUACUGCUUUCUAAAUGAACCUUAUAAUUUUC
Molecule: long non-coding RNA, 596 nt
Filed under: Homo sapiens (human)
Lineage: Eukaryota; Metazoa; Chordata; Mammalia; Primates; Hominidae
Description: non-protein coding lnc-OAF-1:5
Source: RNAcentral